ACUGCCAUAUCACCUCACUUCUCUUUGGGAUUUCUCUUGGAGUGGUUGGUCUGAGAGAAAUCUCUGAGACAGAAGACCUUUCUGAGCAUUGACCAUCUCUCAGUGAACCCAAACCCCCUUGGAUCCAGCUGAAGAUAAAGGAGUGGAUGGGACUUUGUUAGAAAGCCAUUCACCCAAAGAAGAAUUCUCUCUAUUCCCUAAAAUUGUCUUAUGAACUUCAAGCCACAAUUAGGGUAGAUAGAAAUAAGGACAGAUCUCACAACUGACCAAGGAGGGUCAGGCAGAUAGCCUGAACCCUCAGGAUUUGGGGAGGGGGUCAGUUGUUAGCUCAUAGGGAUUUCCCAGUUCCCACUUCCCUUACUCAACAACCCACUCUCCCUGUCUUGUGUGUCCCUUAGAAUAAGAGUCAUUCCUCUUAGAUCAAAUCUGUCUGCCUCAUAACAAUCAAGGAGAGGACGUGAAGCUUGCGGGGAGAACUAUACCUUUCUCAAGAUGAGAAAAAUGAGGACCAGAAAAGUGAAAGGAUUUUCCCAGAGUUCCAUAAGCAGCAAGUUGCAGAACAAGGAUUGGAAUUCAGGUCUUUUGAUCCUACUAUCAGUGAUCUGGUGCAUUGCAGUUAGAGUAAAAUUCAAGCCAGAAUUAGAAUACAUUUGUCUACAAUUAAGAAAAAUUAAACUGUAAUACAAGUGCUUUAAAAAUU
This is a long non-coding RNA of Monodelphis domestica (gray short-tailed opossum), 700 nucleotides long. RefSeq lists it as uncharacterized. The record is from RefSeq and is a predicted model, not a curated record. NCBI's taxonomy places the organism in Eukaryota, Metazoa, Chordata, Mammalia, Didelphimorphia, Didelphidae.